UUUAAUUGAAGAGUUUGAUCAUGGCUCAGAUUGAACGCUGGCGGCAGGCCUAACACAUGCAAGUCGAGCGGUAGCACAGGAGAGCUUGCUCUCUGGGUGACGAGCGGCGGACGGGUGAGUAAUGUCUGGGAAACUGCCUGAUGGAGGGGGAUAACUACUGGAAACGGUAGCUAAUACCGCAUAACGUCUUCGGACCAAAGUGGGGGACCUUCGGGCCUCACGCCAUCAGAUGUGCCCAGAUGGGAUUAGCUAGUAGGUGGGGUAAUGGCUCACCUAGGCGACGAUCCCUAGCUGGUCUGAGAGGAUGACCAGCCACACUGGAACUGAGACACGGUCCAGACUCCUACGGGAGGCAGCAGUGGGGAAUAUUGCACAAUGGGCGCAAGCCUGAUGCAGCCAUGCCGCGUGUGUGAAGAAGGCCUUCGGGUUGUAAAGCACUUUCAGCGAGGAGGAAGGGUAGUGUGUUAAUAGCACAUUGCAUUGACGUUACUCGCAGAAGAAGCACCGGCUAACUCCGUGCCAGCAGCCGCGGUAAUACGGAGGGUGCAAGCGUUAAUCGGAAUUACUGGGCGUAAAGCGCACGCAGGCGGUUUGUUAAGUCAGAUGUGAAAUCCCCGCGCUUAACGUGGGAACUGCAUUUGAAACUGGCAAGCUAGAGUCUUGUAGAGGGGGGUAGAAUUCCAGGUGUAGCGGUGAAAUGCGUAGAGAUCUGGAGGAAUACCGGUGGCGAAGGCGGCCCCCUGGACAAAGACUGACGCUCAGGUGCGAAAGCGUGGGGAGCAAACAGGAUUAGAUACCCUGGUAGUCCACGCUGUAAACGAUGUCGACUUGGAGGUUGUGCCCUUGAGGCGUGGCUUCCGGAGCUAACGCGUUAAGUCGACCGCCUGGGGAGUACGGCCGCAAGGUUAAAACUCAAAUGAAUUGACGGGGGCCCGCACAAGCGGUGGAGCAUGUGGUUUAAUUCGAUGCAACGCGAAGAACCUUACCUACUCUUGACAUCCAGAGAAUUCGCUAGAGAUAGCUUAGUGCCUUCGGGAACUCUGAGACAGGUGCUGCAUGGCUGUCGUCAGCUCGUGUUGUGAAAUGUUGGGUUAAGUCCCGCAACGAGCGCAACCCUUAUCCUUUGUUGCCAGCACGUAAUGGUGGGAACUCAAAGGAGACUGCCGGUGAUAAACC
Molecule: ribosomal RNA, 1176 nt
Filed under: Serratia quinivorans
Lineage: Bacteria; Pseudomonadati; Pseudomonadota; Gammaproteobacteria; Enterobacterales; Yersiniaceae
Description: bacterial SSU rRNA
Rfam family: Bacterial small subunit ribosomal RNA
Source: RNAcentral